GCUGGCGGUAUGCUUAACACAUGCAAGUCGAACGGAAACGAUAGAAGCUUGCUUCUAGGCGUCGAGUGGCGGACGGGUGCGUAACGCGUGGGAAUUUACCUUUUAGUGGGGGAUAGCCCGGUGAAAACCGGAUUAAUACCGCAUACUACUCUACGGAGGAAAAGGGGCCUCUCCUUGGAAGCUCUUGCUAUUAGAUGAGCCCGCGUAAGAUUAGCUAGUUGGUUGAGGUAAUGGCUCACCAAGGCAACGAUCUUUAGCUGGUUUGAGAGGAUGAUCAGCCACACUGGGACUGAGACACGGCCCAGACUCCUACGGGAGGCAGCAGUGGGGAAUAUUGGACAAUGGGCGCAAGCCUGAUCCAGCAAUACCGCGUGUGUGAAGAAGGCCUGAGGGUUGUAAAGCACUUUCAAUAGGGACUAAAUGUUCGUAGUUAAUAACUGCGGAUCUUGAAUUAACCUAUAGAAGAAGGACCGGCUAACUCCGUGCCAGCAGCCGCGGUAAUACGGAGGGUCCGAGCGUUAAUCGGAAUUACUGGGCGUAAAGCGCGCGUAGGCGGUUUAUUAAGUCGGAUGUGAAAGCCCUGGGCUCAACCUGGGAACUGCAUUCGAUACUGGUAAACUAGAGUAUAGUAGAGGUAAGUGGAAUUCCAUGUGUAGCGGUGAAAUGCGUAGAUAUGUGGAGGAACAUCAAGUGGCGAAGGCGACUUACUGGACUAAUACUGACGCU
This 726-nucleotide ribosomal RNA is filed under the name uncultured bacterium. RNAcentral describes it as "bacterial SSU rRNA". It matches the Rfam family "Bacterial small subunit ribosomal RNA", at positions 35 to 747 of the family's 1533-position model. The record is from RNAcentral.